GCGUUAACGAACGAGACCUCAGCCUGCUAACUAGCUAUGCGGAGGUGAUCCUCCGUGGCCAGCUUCUUAGAGGGACUAUGGCCUUCUAGGCCAAGGAAGUUUGAGGCA
RNAcentral lists this ribosomal RNA (108 nucleotides) under Hydrocharitaceae sp. EsgA39. RNAcentral's name for it is "partial small subunit ribosomal RNA". It matches the Rfam family "Eukaryotic small subunit ribosomal RNA", at positions 1325 to 1452 of the family's 1831-position model. RNAcentral also lists the same sequence under 1 other name. Lineage: Eukaryota; Viridiplantae; Streptophyta; Magnoliopsida; Alismatales; Hydrocharitaceae. The record is from RNAcentral.